GACGAGAAGCUUGCUUCUCUGAUGUUAGCGGCGGACGGGUGAGUAACACGUGGAUAACCUACCUAUAAGACUGGGAUAACUUCGGGAAACCGGAGCUAAUACCGGAUAAUAUUUUGAACCGCAUGGUUCAAAAGUGAAAGACGGUCUUGCUGUCACUUAUAGAUGGAUCCGCGCUGCAUUAGCUAGUUGGUAAGGUAACGGCUUACCAAGGCAACGAUGCAUAGCCGACCUGAGAGGGUGAUCGGCCACACUGGAACUGAGACACGGUCCAGACUCCUACGGGAGGCAGCAGUAGGGAAUCUUCCGCAAUGGGCGAAAGCCUGACGGAGCAACGCCGCGUGAGUGAUGAAGGUCUUCGGAUCGUAAAACUCUGUUAUUAGGGAAGAACAUAUGUGUAAGUAACUGUGCACAUCUUGACGGUACCUAAUCAGAAAGCCACGGCUAACUACGUGCCAGCAGCCGCGGUAAUACGUAGGUGGCAAGCGUUAUCCGGAAUUAUUGGGCGUAAAGCGCGCGUAGGCGGUUUUUUAAGUCUGAUGUGAAAGCCCACGGCUCAACCGUGGAGGGUCAUUGGAAACUGGAAAACUUGAGUGCAGAAGAGGAAAGUGGAAUUCCAUGUGUAGCGGUGAAAUGCGCAGAGAUAUGGAGGAACACCAGUGGCGAAAGCGACUUUCUGGUCUGUAACUGACGCUGAUGUGCGAAAGCGUGGGGAUCAAACAG
This 720-nucleotide ribosomal RNA is filed under the name Staphylococcus sp. HFH0021. RNAcentral describes it as "bacterial SSU rRNA". It matches the Rfam family "Bacterial small subunit ribosomal RNA", at positions 69 to 775 of the family's 1533-position model. The record is from RNAcentral. Lineage: Bacteria; Bacillati; Bacillota; Bacilli; Caryophanales; Staphylococcaceae.